GUUUUAAAUUAGGAGGAGAGGAAGUAAAAGGGAAGUGAUGGUUGGGGCGUUAGGGAUUUAGAAGUCGCCCGAAAGGCGCUCUUCUACUGCAAAGUAAUGAUCUUAAAGUGCACCCCACACACAAACCAUGAGUGGGAACUUCAAUGUCACUCGGUAGUCUUCCCCUCUCUCCCCGCUUUUAGUUGUAGUCCCGCUCUCUUGCGUGUAAAACUACAUUGAGACCCCCAGCUUAGGAUUAUGACAGAGAAUCAUAGAAGAUGUCUUGGCGCGAAAUAGGUCAAUGGACCAGCGGCCCCUGGAACUUGCACUUUAAAGGAGGACGUCUUUGUGCCUGCGGAAGAGAGCGUGAUAUCCCAAAUUAAAGUUCCUCCAGGCACGAACUUCCCGUAAGACGGCGGAGAAGGGGAAGGGCAUAGUUCGAAUCCUGGACCAUCGAGACAACGUGCCAGACGAUUUAGCAGUCAAACGUGAAUGACUUCUCCAAGAUUUACUGUGUCCAGACUUCUCCAAGAUUUACUGUGUCC
This is a long non-coding RNA of Biomphalaria glabrata, 524 nucleotides long. RefSeq lists it as uncharacterized. The record is from RefSeq and is a predicted model, not a curated record. Lineage: Eukaryota; Metazoa; Mollusca; Gastropoda; Planorbidae. The transcript is spliced from 3 exons.